UUAGAUACCCUGGUAGUCCACGCCGUAAACGAUGAGAACUAAGUGUUGGAGAGAUUCAGUGCUGCAGUUAACGCAAUAAGUUCUCCGCCUGGGGAGUAUGCACGCAAGUGUGAAACUCAAAGGAAUUGACGGGGGCCCGCACAAGCGGUGGAGUAUGUGGUUUAAUUCGAAGCAACGCGAAGAACCUUACCAGGCCUUGACAUGGCGUUAAAUGCCCUAGAGAUAGGGAGAUAGAAAUAAUGCACACAGGUGGUGCAUGGUUGUCGUCAGCUCGUGUCGUGAGAUGUUGGGUUAAGUCCCGCAACGAGCGCAACCCUUGUCGCAUGUUACCAGCAGUAAGAUGGGGACUCAUGCGAGACUGCCGGUGAUAAACCGGAGGAAGGCGGNGAUGACGUCAAAUCAUCAUGCCCCUUAUGGCCUGNGCGACACACGUACUACAAUGGCGACUACAGAGGGAAGCGAGACAGUGAUGUUAAGCGGACCCCANAAAGGUCGUCCCAGUUCGGAUUGAAGUCUGCAACUCGACUUCAUGAAGCCGGAAUCGCUAGUAAUCGCAGAUCAGCAUGCUGCGGUGAAUACGUUCUCGGGCCUUGUACACACCGNCCGUCAAACAUGGAAGUCNGUAAUGCCCGAAGCCGGUGGCAUACCUUAAUAGAGUGAGCCGUCAAAGCANGACUGAUGACUGGGGGUAAAUCGUAACAAGGUA
Molecule: ribosomal RNA, 706 nt
Filed under: uncultured bacterium
Lineage: Bacteria
Description: bacterial SSU rRNA
Rfam family: Bacterial small subunit ribosomal RNA
Source: RNAcentral